Molecule: long non-coding RNA, 5279 nt
Filed under: Trifolium pratense (red clover)
Lineage: Eukaryota; Viridiplantae; Streptophyta; Magnoliopsida; Fabales; Fabaceae
Description: long non-coding RNA (TPRA_LNC003033)
Source: RNAcentral
CAAAUGGAAACUGUCAAUGUCUUCAUUCCUCCUCCUCUUCAUCUUCUUCUUCUUCUUCUUUAAUGAUAAUACUUUUGAUGUGAGCAAUCAUGGGCCAGUACUCACCAGAUUGUGGCUGACAUUUUCUGCACAAUUCAGGACAACCAUCUAUGUACAAUUCUUCAAGGGCGGUGAGAUUAUGUAUGCCACUAGGAAGGCUCGAUAGUUUAGGACAACCCCUAAUGACGAGCCUUUUAAGAUGAGUCAUUGUUGUCAGACACUCAGGAAACGUUUGAAGAUUAGGAAGUUCAUAAAUUCUCAAGAUCUCUAAAGUUUCUGCAGCACCUUCAAUCCAUCCAGGCAAUGUCAAAAGCCUUGGAAUAUUGUCAAUAAGCAAAUGUUUCAGCAUCAAUUUUUGGACUGGGCUUUCAUUGUGCAACGACAAGUUUAACAUCUUGGAGCUCCUAAUUGCUAGACACUGUAAUUUUGGAAAAAUAUAGAGAGGUAAGGAUUCUAGGCUCCCACAGUUAUCCAGAUACAAUGUUUCAAUGGAAGUGAGCUGUUGUGCACCAUUUAAUACAAACUUCAUAUUUUUACAAUCUUCAAAUACCAAAACCUGAAGAUUGAUCAAGUUUGCAAAUUCAGUCAACGACAAAACUGAUUGUUUGGUCGUUAUCCACAAAUGUCGAAGGCUAGUCAACUUCCCUAAUCCUCUUGGCAAUGUUUCAAGCUCUGGGCAUCCGUUUAAUGCCAAGUAUUGCAAUUUAUGGAGUUCGAAAAUAGAAUCCGGAAGUCUUUUGAUUUUCUUGUUAUUAGAUACAAAAAGAAUAUGCAGGUGCUUCAAUUUACCAAUUGAGUUAGGCAGGGUCUCAAUUGAAGAAUAAUCCAAAUCUAAAAAUCGCAAGUAUUUAUAUCUUGAUACCCAUAUAUCCAACAAUGAUUCAUUGUCAAGGCCCACCCCUUCAACGGGAAAUAAAAUAGUUCUUACACUUUUGGAUUUAGGGAACAAAACACAAUCAAGUGAAUCAUUUUCAAUAAUCGAUAUAUGCGUUGCUUGUUCCGAUAUUUUCCGAGUAUUUGAGUCUACUGUUACAAACUCCUCUUUUGCAACAUACAAUGCAAGAUCAUGUAUCAAAUCAUGCAGUUUGAAUACGCUAAGGCCCCCAAAUUCAAUGAAAUCCUGAAGCAAUGAUCUUGAAUGUAACUCAUGUAUAUAUUCCCUAGCAAUAUGCUCUAGCUCUUCAUUUCCAUUAGUGGAUUUAACUAAUCCAUGGGCCAUCCACAGAGUAGUAAUUUCUAUGACAUCAAUGGAUCGAUUUUUGGGAUACAUGGAAAAAUAAGCAAAACAUUGUCUCAAAUAGGAUGACAUUUCAUCAUAGCUUAAUUUUAAUGCAGGUAAAAUGUCAUCUUUCUUCUGUUCCAAAUCCCAUAUCUCAUGGUCUCUUACGAAUAUCCACUUAUUUAAAUCAUAUUUUGAGAACAAGGAACUUCCCAAAGUUUUGACGGCCAACGGAACUCCUGCACAUUUUUUCACAAUUUCUUUUCCGGUCUCAACUAAAUUUGAAUAUUUUUCUUCUUCUCCAUCCUUGAACGCACAUUUCACAAACAAAGACAAACAAUUCUUUUGUGAAAGACCUUCCAAAACAUAUGAAGGAACAGUACCCAUCAUUGAAGCGACUGAGUUGCUACGUGUCGUCACUAUGAUUUUACUUUCUCCUGCACCAACUUUGAUCAUAUCAGCCAACUCAAUCCAUUUUGUACGAUCAUCAUUCCAUAUAUCAUCUAGCACGAGGAUAAACUUUUGACCAUCAAGUUUAUGUCUUAGACGAAUUUGCAGUUGCUCAAUAUCAAAGUGGUUAAUAUCUUCUUGGUGAGCAAUAGCAACACCAGGUGGAGAUGAAGCUGAAAGGAAGGCAGAGUUGAUAAUUUUGAUAAUUAUUUUCCUAAUAUCAAAAUCAUUGGACACACAUACCCAAAUCUUCAAUUGGAAAACAUCAUCUAUCCUCUUAUCAUUGAAUACCAACUUUGCAAGUGUGGUCUUCCCAAGUCCUCCGAUUCCCACAAUGGGAAUGACACACAUACAUUUAUCACCGUCACUGUGGGGAUUGGAUUCCAUCAAAAGCUUGAUAAUUGUUUCUUUGUCGUUCUCCCUCCCGAUGACACUUGAAGCAUCAACAUGGGAAUGAGUGAAUUGUCUCCUUUGCAGAGAAUGUUCGGGUUCAACAUCGAUUUUCACAAGUCCAAACAUGGUUCCAUCAGCCGCUACCUUAUUCAAUCUAUCCCUGAUCUCUUUGAUUUGACGUGCCAUCUUAAAUCGGAAAGCAAGUGGAUUAGAGGGAGAAAAGAAGCGGCGUACCUUCCUCCUAGUGCUGCCAGAAACUUCCAGAUCUUGUUUUUUCUUGUGUUGCAACUCAAAUUCAUCCAAUACAUCUUCUGCAUCAUAGCAGAUGUUUUGAAUCUGCCUUAGCCAUUCACGCAAGGCAUGUUGUUGGUUCUUCUUGUGCUCAGCAUCCAACAACAGACCUCUGACAAUUGACAGAGUAUCUUUGAUCCCUUGUAGAUCUUCAUACACACCAUAGGCACGAGAAGCUUCUUCAUAAGCAUAAGAAGCAAGUUUCCCUAAGAGUGAAUCAGCAAUAUUAAAAACAAAUGAUUCUGCCAUAUUGGUAAUGAGGAAAGAGCAGAAAUGGUGUUAGUAUCUAAGUUUCUGGUUUGUGUAUAUCAAAAUAAACCAAUAGUCAACAUUGGUAAUAGCCAGAGUCUUCUUCACUUGUUGGUAUGUAUAUUAAUAUUGUGUGUACUGUAGAACUUUAAUGAGUGGAACCAUAACCAACUCAUUGGUAAGUAUGUAUAUUAUUAUUGUGUACUAUAGAACAUUAAUGAGUGGAACCAUAACCAACUGUUCAUGCAGUACAUGAGUUAUUAUGUUCAGAAAUGGGCAAAAUAUCAUGAUAUUUUAAGCAAUAGUAAGUUAUAUUGCUUUCCUUUAUUACCUAUGGAUGGAAGCAUCGUUUGGUAAUUGACAGUCUUCUUCACUCCAUUUUAAAUAUUUUAGGACGUUGAGGAUUGAAAUCAGAUUAAGCUCUGACAAUAUUAAAAAAAAUUAAAUAAAUAAUAAAAUAAUUUGAUUGCAUGAUUUAUAAAAAUCAAAUAGUGGAUUAAGAAAGAACAUUACUAGCGAAAAUGGUUCAUUUAUAUUUUGCAUGCUAUAUGGCAACAGGCUUAAAACUCCAUCAGCAACUUAUCAAUGAUUUAAUAAAUGGAAUCAACUGGUCAAAGUGAAGUAUCUCUUCAAGUAGAAUUGAAAUGAAGUUAAAUGUGGCUUUCUAGUCUCAGAAUUGUUCCAGAUCGAGUUGCCUUUGAGGCUGAUCUCAGGCUUCAUAAUUUUUUGGUUGAUCUUUCAAGCUCCAAGCUUUCUAUAGAUAAGCACUAGUUCCAAAGGUCCAAUUGGUGAUUCUCCUCCCUCUAUUUUCAUUGCUUGACCAUGUUAUCACUGAGUUUGCACAGUAUGUAUAAUUAACAAAGCACAGUAUGCACAGUCCCUAUGGUAGGUACUAUACCUAAGUUUGAUCCAAACAUGAACACGAUAUCGAUUACCAACCAUAUAGGCUCCCUGUAAAAGAGGAGAUUCACUGCCAUUAGUCUCAAUUCCUUCAGUGGGGAGGAAUGUUAACAAAAGCCAUAGCCAGUUAAAUUACCUUCAACUUUUCAACAAAUGAUAAAUAUUGAGUUUUCUAAUAUGUUCUACCAUUCCCUAAUACAGAUUGAAAACGCUCUAAGUGUUGCAACAAGCAGCACCUAUUUUUUCCAAAAGAUAUAAAAAGAAACUUAAAUACAGUCUACAAUACUAGUGAAAGAAGAUUUAUUUAUUAAUUUGUUUUGCUUCAUACCAAACAUGUUCUAAAUAACAGAAUUGGUAAGUCUCUCAAAGCUGAUUAAGAGUUCCAGUAGCUCAACAUAAUUCUCGUCCUCAAUGAUCACUCUUUUGAUGUGAGCAAUCAUGGGCCAGUACUCACCAGAUUGUGGCUGACAUUUUCUGCACAAUUCAGGACAGCCAUCUAUGUACAAUUCUUCAAGGGCGGUGAGAUGAUGUAUGCCACUAGGAAGGCUCAAUAGUUGAGGACAACCCCUAAUGACGAGCCUUUUAAGAUGAGUCAUUGUUGUCAGACACUCGGGAAAAGUUUGAAGAUUAGAAAGGUCAUAAAUUGUCAAGGUCUCUAAAUUUUCUGCUGCACAUAUCCAUCCAGGCAAUGUCAAAAGCCCUGGAAUAUCGUUAACAAACAAAUGUUUCAUCAUCAAUUUUUUGACUGGGCUUUCGUUGUUCAACGACAAGUUUAACAUCUUGCAGUCUGCAAUUACUAGAGACUGUAAUUUCGGAAAAAUAUGGAGAGGUAAGGAUUCUAGGCUCCCACAUGAAUACAAACACAGUGUUUCAAUGGAAGUGAGCUGUUGUUCCCCACUGAAUACAAACUUCAUAUUUUUACAAUAUUGAAAUACCAAACACUUAAGAUGGUUCAAGUUUACAAAUUCAGUCAAUGUCAAAACUGAUUGUUUGGUUGUUAUACUCAACAGUCGAAGGUUAGUCAUCUUUCCUAAUCCUUUUGGCAAAGUUUCGAGCUCUGUGCAUCCAUCGAGGUACAAGAAUUGCAAAUUAUGGAGUUUGAAAAUAGAAUGAGGAAGUCUUUUGAGUUUAUUGUUAUUAGAUAGACCAAGACCACGCAGGUGUUUCAAUUCACCAAUUGAGUUAGGCAGAGUCUCAAAUGAAGAAUCAGUCAAAUCUAAAAAUCGCAAGUAUUUAUAUCUUGAUAUCCAUAGAUCCAACAAUGAUUCAUUGUCAAGGCCAACCCCUUUAACUGGAAAUAAAAUAGUUCUUACACUUUUGGACUUGGAGAACAAAACACGGUCAAGAGAAUCAUUUUCAAUUAUCGAUAAAUGUCUUGCUUGUUCAGACAUAUUCCGAUUAUUUGAGUCUACAAUUACAAACUUCUCUUUCGCAACAUACAAUGCAAGAUCAUGUAUCAAAUCAUGCAUUUUGAAAAAGCUAAGGUCCCCCUUGUCCGUGAAAUCCUGAAGAAAGGAUCUUGAAUGUAACUCAUGUAUAUAUUCUCUAGCAAUAUGCUCUAGUUCUUCACUUUCAUUCGUGGAUUCAACUAAUCCAAGGGCUAUCCACAAAGUAGUAAUAUUUAUGACAAUAAUGGCAUCAUUUUUGGGAAACAAGGAAAAAUAAGCAAAACAUUGUCUCAAAUAGGAUGGCAUUUCAUCGUAACUUAAUUUUAAUGCAGGUAAAAUGUCAUCUUUCU